GACGAACGCUGGUGGCGUGCCUAAUACAUGCAAGUCGAGCGAACAUUUGAGAGCUUGCUCCCAAAAAUUAGCGGCGGACGGGUGAGUAACACGUGGGCAACCUGCCUAUAAGACUGGGAUAACUUCGGGAAACCGGAGCUAAUACCGGAUAAUUCUUUUCUACACAUGUAGGGAAGCUGAAAGACGGUUUACGCUGUCACUUAUAGAUGGGCCCGCGGCGCAUUAGCAGUUGGUGAGGUAACGGCUCACCAAGGCCACGAUGCGUAGCCGACCUGAGAGGGUGAUCGGCCACACUGGGACUGAGACACGGCCCAGACUCCUACGGGAGGCAGCAGUAGGGAAUCUUCCGCAAUGGACGAAAGUCUGACGGAGCAACGCCGCGUGAGUGAUGAAGGUUUUCGGAUACGUAAAACUC
This 415-nucleotide ribosomal RNA is filed under the name uncultured bacterium. Its description in RNAcentral is "bacterial SSU rRNA". It matches the Rfam family "Bacterial small subunit ribosomal RNA", at positions 28 to 433 of the family's 1533-position model. The record is from RNAcentral.